GAGAUGGGGGGGGUCUCACUACGUUGCCCAGGUUGGUCUCAAACUCCUGGACUCAAGCGAUCCUCCUGCCUUGGCUUCCCAAAGUGCUGGAACUACAAGCUUGAGCCACCGCACCUGGCCAAAAUGGGAUCUUUUACAGCAGCACAUUGGUCUGAUGACUGUUGAGACUUUGAUUAAAAAGGCUGAGAGGAAGCUGAGGGGAACCUAUGGCUGACACCACAGGGACGGGGAGAAGGAGUCAGAGGGAGAGGUCUGCCAUGUGUUUGUCCCCCAACCCAGGCCCGCAUGCUUCCUGAAGGGGGACACUCUUGUGCCUCUGUGAGGCCCGUUUUACAGAUGAGAAAACUGAGGACAGGGGAAAGUGUCCCCCCAGGAUCACACGUGACUGGGAGGAUGCAGCAGCUUGGAGCCCCGCCGUCCUCCAUCUCCACACCCCUUCUGUGGAUCCCGAGGGUGCAGCCAGCCACGCUGUGAAGGUCUCUGACGCCCAUGGAGUCCUGGAUGCUCAGCAGGGAAACUGAGGCAAGUUGCCGGUUGUAAGGACAGACAGCACAGGUCUCUGGGGCUUCCAGAGUCCCCGGUGAUUCUGCCUCCAACACCACCCUCCCCACUUCCCUAGUUCCAGCCCGAGCCUUGAGGGGGCACCCAGGACAAAGGAGCGGUGAAGGCUGGGGGCGGAAGGACUGGAGUUCCCCUUCGGAACUCAUGGCGAGGCCGGGGCGGGGGCUUGACUCCUCUGAACGUCAGUCUCCUCCUCUGUGGAAAAGGGGAAUCAGGUUGUACUAAGGAUUGGAAAAAACAUGAACUGUAGAGUGCUGACCCCAAGGAAGCGCCUAAGGGAUGUUUGCUGAGGGAGGAAACAGGUCCCUGGACGGACGGACAGACAGACGAGCGUGGCUGAGUGGAUGAAGGAAUGACUGCGCCCCGCCCUGACCAGCCAGCCUGGCAGAGAGGACCCCUGCUGGUGACUCAAAUCCAAGACACGCAGUCCCCAGAGUGUGUGGUCCCCCCCACCCCCGUCCCAGGGGACGCCUCCACCUAGGCAGUGGGGCCAUUGUCUAAGAAUGGCCACGUGUGUCCCCGGGCCUGGAUCUGGACCAUGGUGGGCCACUGGCCACCAUCCCCGCCCUUCCGAGAGGGCAACUGCCCCCUAAUGUCCCUCGCCAUCUUUUACGACCCAAGCAGUAUGCACAGCCCUACUUCAUGAAAACAAAACGAGCUGCAUCAACAGCAGAGAGCAGACUUUCCAGGCCACCAGUUCUGGGGACCAAUUCAAGGGAGAAAGAAGGCCUGGCCUCCAAGCCCGCCUUGUACCCUCGCUGGGGGAUCCUGGGACCGCUCCCUCUUGGGAAGCAGAGACCCAAACCCACAACAAACUUAGGCUGAGUGAUGGAGCAGAGGCUGCCACAGCUGAGCCCAGGUUCUGUCUCUGCCCUGGGGGUCCUGACCCAUCGCCACCCCACUAAGGCACUCGUACUGGGCUCUUUGAGGACAUUCUCCCUCUCCAACCUCGGGACAACCUACCAGGUGUGGAUCAUGACCCCUGCCUCACAGACAGGGGAGGAAAGCGAGGCUGGGAGCAGGCAGGAAGCAGCUCGUCCAAGACCCUGUAGGCCCUGGUCUGUCUGAUUCUGCUCCCUGGUCACAGAUGUCCUGGGGCUGGUGUCCAGCGCCCCCUGCACUCUGGGAUGUAGGAAGUCAGCCUCCUUCCUCCCUCCUCCAGACCCCUCAGCUGAGACUGCCAGGGUCUCAAGCAGAGAUGAGACCCAUCCCUGUCCCCUCUCAGGUCACCGGGCUCAGCCAGGCUCAGCUGGAGCUGAAGGUUAUUGCAAACUGCCAGGGCCCUGCUCACCUCGUUAAGUCCAGGGAGCAGGGUCAGCGGCUUUUACAAGCCCCAUAAAGCAUUGCUCGUGGCCACUACAGCACACAGCUGGUCCUGGCGACCAGUCCCUCCCUGGGCCCAGGACAGGAGGGGGACAAGUUUCUUCCUUAAGGAACUCAUCUCCCAGAUUCAUAAAAUCACCGGAAGUGUCAUGGGUGGUCUGUGCCCCAACAGAUAAUUACAGUGUGACACCCCUGCCCUAGAGGCUGGUGUCGGGGAGGUAGAUUCCCCUCCACAGAGGCCCUGCAGCUUGUCCUGCCUUGCUGGGCCAGCACUGUGUUAAUAAAUGCUUUGAGCCUA
This 2182-nucleotide long non-coding RNA is filed under the name Homo sapiens (human). RNAcentral's name for it is "HSALNT0354889". The record is from RNAcentral. Lineage: Eukaryota; Metazoa; Chordata; Mammalia; Primates; Hominidae.